Molecule: small nuclear RNA, 177 nt
Organism: Pygocentrus nattereri (red-bellied piranha)
Lineage: Eukaryota; Metazoa; Chordata; Actinopteri; Characiformes; Serrasalmidae
Gene: U2
Rfam family: U2 spliceosomal RNA
About the family: U2 is a small nuclear RNA (snRNA) component of the spliceosome (involved in pre-mRNA splicing).
Source: Ensembl
GUCGCUUCUCUGCCUUUUGGCUAAGAUCAAGUGUAGUAUCUGUUCUCAUCAGAUUAAUAUCUGAUAUGAGGACUACAUAUUAAAUAGAUUUCUAGAACAGGGAGACGGAAGAACUUGCUCCAUCCGCUCCACUCAUCGACCAGGUAUUGCAGUACCUCCAGGAACGGUGCACCUCCU